Rattus norvegicus (Norway rat) is the source of this 1979-nucleotide non-coding RNA. The record is from RefSeq and is a predicted model, not a curated record. Lineage: Eukaryota; Metazoa; Chordata; Mammalia; Rodentia; Muridae.
UUCUGGUGUCUGGAAACCACUUUUCUUGAAAGUCUUUUACCACCUCCGGCUCUCGGACCCUGUUCUGCAAUGAUCCCUGAGCUUGGGGGUGAGACGUAAAUGAUCGGUUUGGAGCUGAGGACUCUACAGUCUUUAGUUCCCUGCACGUCACCCCCAGUGGCGAUAAAAAGGAGACCAUCAUGACUGAGGUUGAAAAGAUGUCAGUUGUCCUGGCAAGUUCUGUGUCAAGUUGACAGACACUAGAGUCAUCAGUGAAGAGGGAGCCUCAGUUGAGAAGAUCUUGGAUAAGAUGGGGCGCCUGCUUAGAGCCCCAGAGGACCAGGCUAUCAUUGAGAGAGCAACAGAGAGAGCCCGUGUAGGAGGGUCACUGAGAAAGAUGAAUUUAAAAUACAGAAAAGGAACGAGCAAAAAGAUCAUUUACCAGCUGGAAGAUCUGCGGUCAGUGAAAAGAUUAACGGCAGAUUUUGGCAAAAUCGUUAUGGCUUCACGACAGAUGGAGGGACAUUUUUAAAAAGUCUGGCAAAGGGUCACUCUCCGGAAACAGAUGCCCAAUGUAGGAAAAUACAUUAGCCCAGACAUUCGUGUUUCUACCGAAGAUGGGCCUCUGUUGGAGAGUGAGCACCUUCAAACUAGAAAUCAGCACCAGUCUUCUACCUAUAGCGCAGACCUGGUAUUUCCAAAGCUGUAGUUGGCCAGCCAGGGUCGCUUUAAGUAAAUGCAUGAUCUUUAAUUCACUUCUCUUUUUAAAGUUUGCUCUCUGUUCCAAAUAUUCCAAUUUUGAAAAACAGACUAAUGUUGGACAGUGUCUUUGAGAAUCUCUAUGGGUCUUGCUAGCGUGUGUGUGUGUGUGUGUGUGUGUGUGUGUAUGUGUGUGUAUGUGUGCAUAUACCCUGAGACUCCCUGUCUUUCAAUCGUAUCUGGACUUUAACUCAUUUUGAUAUAUAUUUGAAGAUAUAUAUAUAUAUGUAUAUAUGUAUGUAUAUAUAUGUAUAUAUGUAUGUAUGUAUAUAUAUAUAUAUCUUCAGCUCCACGCUGAACAUAUGGUUGCAGACUAUAUGGAAUGAGGUGUGAAACGAUGCCUUGGGACUCUCCUUUCCAGCUAUCUUUAUCCAUUUUUUCCUCUUCCCCUUUUCCCUCAAACUACUUUCUCCACAGCACCACACAGGCAAUGUAAAUGAACCAGAUCCAACGAUCAGUAAAAAAAUAACUUAAAAAAAACAAUUAAAGCCACUAAUGUUGCAUCACAGGCACCUGGUGAUGAGAACUGUAAGGCUGGGGUGGCUGGAACUCGUUGAGCUUGAUACAUCACCAUGAGGGGCUUCUUCCUUCUGUGUCUCACUUUCUUUUAACCUGGAUGGGGGUCUAGUAAUAGCGUCCCCAAACAGCCCUUUCUCCAACUUAACUACAUUUUAGAUUAAAUUUCCUGCCUUUAGGCCUAACCUGUCUUUCACCUCAGCUCUCGUAGAACUGAAAAAUAAGGUACUCUCUCUCCUUAAAAAACCAUCGUUCCAUUAAGGAAGCUGUAAUUAUAAGUACUCUCUCUGAACCUUUGGGAGAAGAAAUUAUUCUAAAAACCAUGCUAGAUUUUUAGAGAGGUCUGCCUCUCUUAAAAAGACCAGAGAGCCUUCUUUUCCAACUCUGAUCAUCAGAGAAGACGAUGUCGUGGGCUCCCUUCCUGUGGGAGGGUGGGGGCCUAGAUUAGCCGCAUGCCAUUGGCCUCCUAUCAAGAAGAUAAGAGAGAGUUCAUCAUUUCUUAUAUAAGGUCAGUAGUAGACGCAGCCAGCCCCAUGGCCUUCUUACUCCCAGCCUAUCUUAAACCCCCAACCUUUGAUUCAAAGGAAUUUAAUUCACAUUGACUUUUGAAGGAAACAUUAUAUUUCUGGUAUGCCGUACAAUCCGAAAGGGAUUAUUACAGUCAUCCUGCCAGCAGGCUGAGAACAACAGAGAUCGGAAAACUAUUAUUAAAUUUAUAUUUUAAA